RNAcentral lists this non-coding RNA (21 nucleotides) under Caenorhabditis elegans. The record is from RNAcentral. Lineage: Eukaryota; Metazoa; Nematoda; Chromadorea; Rhabditida; Rhabditidae.
UUCUUCCACUCAUGGCAUUUU